UCAUAAAAGACCUAGAUCACUUGGCUGCCAUGUCAUAAUGAUACUCAAGCAACCUAUUGGAAAUGCCCACAUGAUGAGGAACUAAGACCUCCUGCCAAUGGCCACAACCCUUUUACACUCUUAAAAUUGAGGACCUUAAAGAGCUUCUGCUUAUUACAGUUUUUAUCUAUCAUAUAUCAUAAUAUGCACCCUGUUUUAUACCUGUGGUGAAAAAUCUCCCCCUGUAUUGGAGAAGAGCUAUUAUACAACAAUCAGUUGAUGAUGGACUGGUAUAGAGGUCCCCUCCCAGCUCUCAUUUUCUUUGCUUCUGAGAAAUGUUAUGGACAAGUCGGCAGCAACUCUCCCACGUCCUGUGAGCUCACCAGGUGCAGAUUAUGGGUCGUGCUGCAAGGAUGACACAUAGAACUGAGGCCACUGCACGACUGAGUGCAUGGAGUCCUGUGGCUCCCGCACAAACAGAGAGACUGGGAUGAUGCGGGCGUGGCAUGUUGUCCUCCACACAGAGAUCCCUUCUGCCUGCCUUUCUGAGAGCUUCCCUGUAAGAAACUGCACCCAGCGACAACUUGGCCUGAGCACUGAGGACUGUGCACCCCUGUGCACCCAGGGGUGGGUGCAAGCAGAAUGAGGACCCCUGAGACUUGCCAAUGUCAGACAUAGAGACGCAUUCCAGUCAAGGCCAAGUGGAGCUGCUAGAUUCAGCCCCUGAUUCUUCUCAGGAAGACACCCACUGAGCUUCUGAGGGGUCAAAGACUAGAAGUCAGUUCCACGCACCUUGCAAAGGCCCACUGAUAUGGAUGGGAAGUUGCCCAGAUUGUGCAUUCCCUGGAGACUACUUUUACUCACCUCU
Molecule: long non-coding RNA, 847 nt
Organism: Felis catus (domestic cat)
Lineage: Eukaryota; Metazoa; Chordata; Mammalia; Carnivora; Felidae
Exons: 6
Source: RefSeq, a predicted model, not a curated record